GUCGAACGAGAGAAGAGAAGCUUGCUUUUCUGAUCUAGUGGCGGACGGGUGAGUAACACGUGAGCAAUCUGCCUUUCAGAGGGGGAUACCGAUUGGAAACGAUCGUUAAUACCGCAUAACAUAAUUGAACCGCAUGAUUUGAUUAUCAAAGAUUUAUCGCUGAAAGAUGAGCUCGCGUCUGAUUAGCUAGUUGGUAAGGUAACGGCUUACCAAGGCGACGAUCAGUAGCCGGACUGAGAGGUUGAUCGGCCACAUUGGGACUGAGACACGGCCCAGACUCCUACGGGAGGCAGCAGUGGGGAAUAUUGCACAAUGGAGGAAACUCUGAUGCAGCGAUGCCGCGUGAGGGAAGAAGGUUUUAGGAUUGUAAACCUCUGUCUUCAGGGACGAAAAAAUGACGGUACCUGAGGAGGAAGCUCCGGCUAACUACGUGCCAGCAGCCGCGGUAAUACGUAGGGAGCGAGCGUUGUCCGGAAUUACUGGGUGUAAAGGGAGCGUAGGCGGGAUCGCAAGUCAGAUGUGAAAACUAUGGGCUUAACCCAUAAACUGCAUUUGAAACUGUGGUUCUUGAGUGAAGUAGAGGUAAGCGGAAUUCCUAGUGUAGCGGUGAAAUGCGUAGAUAUUAGGAGGAACAUCAGUGGCGAAGGCGGCUUACUGGGCUUUAACUGACGCUGAGGCUCGAAAGCGUGGGGAGCAAACAGGAUUAGAUACCCUGGUAGUCCACGCCGUAAACGAUGAUUACUAGGUGUGGGGGGACUGACCCCUUCCGUGCCGCAGCAAACGCAAUAAGUAAUCCACCUGGGGAGUACGACCGCAAGGUUGAAACUCAAAGGAAUUGACGGGGGCCC
Molecule: ribosomal RNA, 848 nt
Filed under: uncultured bacterium
Lineage: Bacteria
Description: bacterial SSU rRNA
Rfam family: Bacterial small subunit ribosomal RNA
Source: RNAcentral